RNAcentral lists this ribosomal RNA (406 nucleotides) under uncultured bacterium. RNAcentral's name for it is "partial 16S ribosomal RNA". It matches the Rfam family "Bacterial small subunit ribosomal RNA", at positions 28 to 526 of the family's 1533-position model. The record is from RNAcentral.
GAUGAACGCUAGCUAAAGGCUUAACACAUGCAAGUCGAGAGACCGGCGCACGUGUGAGUAACACGUAUCCAACCUGCCCUUUACUCGGGGAUAGCCUUUCGAAAGAAAGAUUAAUACCCGAUCUAAAGGAUGGGGAUGCGUUCCAUUAGGUUGUGGGUGAGGUAACGGCUCACCAAGCCUUCGCUGGAUAGGGGUUCUGAGAGGAAGUUCCCCCACAGUGGAACUGAGAUACGUUCGAAACUGCUACGGGAGGGAGCAGUGAGGAAUAUUGGGCAAGGGGCGCUAGCCUGAACCAGCCAAGUGGCGGUAAGGAUGUGGGUUGAUGGGGCGUAAACUGCUUUUAGAGAAGAAUAGGUAUUAUAUGAAUAAGGAUCGGCUAACUCCGUGCCAGCAGCCGCGGUAAUAC